GAGAAGCUUGCUUCUUGGGUGGCGAGUGGCGAACGGGUGAGUAACAUAUCGGAACGUACCGAGUAGUGGGGGAUAACUGAUCGAAAGAUCAGCUAAUACCGCAUACGUCUUGAGAGGGAAAGCAGGGGACCUUCGGGCCUUGCGCUAUUCGAGCGGCCGAUAUCUGAUUAGCUAGUUGGUGGGGUAAAGGCCUACCAAGGCGACGAUCAGUAGCGGGUCUGAGAGGAUGAUCCGCCACACUGGGACUGAGACACGGCCCAGACUCCUACGGGAGGCAGCAGUGGGGAAUUUUGGACAAUGGGCGCAAGCCUGAUCCAGCCAUGCCGCGUGUCUGAAGAAGGCCUUCGGGUUGUAAAGGACUUUUGUCAGGGAAGAAAAGGCUGUUGCUAAUAUCAUCAGCUGAUGACG
Molecule: ribosomal RNA, 408 nt
Filed under: Neisseria meningitidis
Lineage: Bacteria; Pseudomonadati; Pseudomonadota; Betaproteobacteria; Neisseriales; Neisseriaceae
Description: bacterial SSU rRNA
Rfam family: Bacterial small subunit ribosomal RNA
Source: RNAcentral